This 145-nucleotide ribosomal RNA is filed under the name uncultured Glomus. RNAcentral describes it as "partial 18S ribosomal RNA". It matches the Rfam family "Eukaryotic small subunit ribosomal RNA", at positions 569 to 712 of the family's 1831-position model. The record is from RNAcentral. Lineage: Eukaryota; Fungi; Glomeromycota; Glomeromycetes; Glomerales; Glomeraceae.
AGCAGCCGCGGUAAUUCCAGCUCCAAUAGCGUAUAUUAAAGUUGCUGUAAGUUAAAAAGCUCGUAGUUGAAUUUCGGGAUCAAUAUGUUGGUCGUGCCUCGGUACGUACUAGCUUAUUGGUUUCUUCCUUCUGACGAACCAUAAU